CAUUUUGGCGUCGCCCGAUGUUAUGCCGAGUUUUGCCUGCCUACCGAGAAUUGCAUGCAUCCCAAAUAAUGCUUGUAAACGCUGUAAUAUUCUUUGUGGGCUUCAUCAAUGCUUCCUUCUCUUCACACUCUUCAAGAGUCCUCCUGGUCCACUUCAUACUGGGAGAAACAGUCAACGGGUAUUAAACUUUAAUGAUAGGAGGGGGUUAUGGACGCCGAUUUUAUCAGGGGAGCUAUUAGAUUUUGGUAAAUACUCUUAAAACCUUAUGUCAUAAUCUUCGUGGUUAGUAUAUUUGGUAAACCAGGAAAAGGCACUUUUAUGACCGUAGUUUGGCUUCAGGUGUUGGACAUGAACCUGCUGGGCUGUGGAAUUGAGGACGGAAGGGUUGAAAAGGCCCAUAAAAACCUCAGAUGAAAAGAGAAGAAAAUCGUGGCAGGUGAAACUCAUUAGGCUGAAUCCCACUCAGGUGUGUCUGUUCAGUGGCCCUGCUGUACACCUGGCCAUCAUUCAUGUGAUCACCUGUGCUCAUGGGGGAAAAGAUCCAUCGGCCACUACGCUGCUAAUGAUAUGUAAUACACUAUAUGGACAAAGCUCCAUAAAGAAAUGGUUUAACCCAGUUUGGUGUGGAAGAACUUGACUGGCCCGCACAGAGCCCUGACCUCGACCCUAUCCAGCACCUUUGGGAUGAACUACAACGGAGACUGCGAGCCAGGCCGUCAUGUCCAACAUCAGUGUCUGACCUCACAAAUGCUCUUCUGGAUGAAUGGGCAGAAAUUCUCACAGACACACUCUAAACAGCCUGUAGAAAGCCUUCCCAGAGGAGUGGAAGCUGUUAUAGCUGCAAAGGGGGGAUGGCUAUGGAUUUAUAAUAGGAUGUUACAGUAAUGUGUUCUUCCUCUGCACUUCCAGGAGUCACCAGCUGGGGGCGUCCACGGCUUCCUGUACGCCAUGUGCAGCCUCUCCUCCUCCGGCACAGAAAAAGAAAGAGCAGCUGCUUCUCACAUCACCAGCCUUUGCUCUGUCAUCCCCCCCCUCCUCCUCCUCCCUCCUCCUCCCUCCUCCCUCAGGAAAGGGGAGCGCCACACCCUGCCAGCCAAUCAGAGCUCGGCUCCACCUUCUCCAUCACCUCAUCUCAGUUUCCAAGUGGGAUUGCCACAACAUCAAAGGCACCUCCCUCCCUCCCUCUCUCUCCCUCUCUCUCUGCAUCCUCCAACAUCCGACACUCAGGAAGAGAAGAAGAAGGGAACGAGAUGGACUAAAGGAGAAGAAGAAGAGAUGUG
Long non-coding RNA from Micropterus dolomieu (smallmouth bass), 1280 nucleotides. RefSeq lists it as uncharacterized. The transcript is spliced from 7 exons. The record is from RefSeq and is a predicted model, not a curated record. Lineage: Eukaryota; Metazoa; Chordata; Actinopteri; Centrarchiformes; Centrarchidae.